GGAGUUAGCCGGUGCUUCUUCUGUGAGUGAUGUCCUUCCUGCCGGCUAUUAACCCGCAGGCCUUCUUCCUCACUGAAAGUGCUUUACAACCCGAAGGCCUUCUUCACACACGCGGCAUGGCUGGAUCAGGGUUGCCCCCAUUGUCCAAUAUUCCCCACUGCUGCCUCCCGUAGGAGUCUGGGCCGUGUCUCAGUCCCAGUGUGGCUGAUCAUCCUCUCAGACCAGCUACGGAUCGUCGCCUUGGUGAGCCGUUACCUCACCAACCAGCUAAUCCGACAUAGGCUCAUCCGAUAGCGCGAGGCCCGAAGGUCCCCCGCUUUCCCCCGUAGGGCGUAUGCGGUAUUAGCCUGGGUUUCCCCAGGUUAUCCCCCACUACCGGGCAGAUUCCUAUGCAUUACUCACCCGUCCGCCGCUCGCCACCAGGGAGCAAGCUCCCCGUGCUGCCGCUCGACUUGCAUGUGUUAGGCUCGCCGCCACGCGUUCAUCUGAGCCAUGAUACAACUACUGA
This 508-nucleotide ribosomal RNA is filed under the name uncultured bacterium. Its description in RNAcentral is "partial 16S ribosomal RNA". The record is from RNAcentral.